This 1171-nucleotide long non-coding RNA is filed under the name Olea europaea subsp. europaea. Lineage: Eukaryota; Viridiplantae; Streptophyta; Magnoliopsida; Lamiales; Oleaceae. The record is from RNAcentral.
AUAUACCUCGCAAUAAUAUCUCAAUAAUUGUGUUUUUACAAUUAAAAAAUGAGUUCUAUUUAUAGAGAACCCAUAAAAACCUAAUUAAAAUGGAAUUAUAUCAAAAAGAUAAAAUAACAAGAGUUCUACCAAUAAUAGACUUCUAGAAAAAUCUGAAAAAAUGUGUCCAGAAAAUGAACUAUGCGACCCAAUAGUUAUAAUUCCCGCGACCACAUCAACCAAACAAAAAUUGCACCUUUUUGUUUUUGGGAAUAGUACAUGCGACAGCAUGCCCUUUUGUACUAAGAGGCAGCAUAGUUGUCCAGCUGGCUUCCAAGUUGGUUUUCUUGAUUCUAUUGCAUCCAACUUGUUUCCGCCUUCAUGCCCAACAUGAAACUUGAUGUUUGGCUUGUUAACUUUAAACUCUUGGCUUCGUAGCUUGAAUAAGUAAAAUAGAUGGCUUCAUUGAUCCUAUUUCUCGCAAUUUUGUCAUUUGUUCCUUUAAAAGUUGGACCUGAAUUUGGUACGAUUGUUUCCUUCUUAAGAUCAUAUCACUCCCUUCCUCUUUGAAAGGAUUGGAACUUGAGUUUAUACCUAAAUCAAACACCUCAAAAUAAGAUACAUCGAAAAGAUGCAAAUUAUUAGAAACUUACCUUGAAGAUCCAAGUUGUAGUCAUUGUUUUCAAUCCUUGCAAUGACGUAGAGUGGUCCAUCUCCUCUAUGAUGAAACAUUGAUCUUCUUUGCAUUCGAACCUAUGCCUCUUCAUUUUGCUAUCUUGAGAUGCAUAUAAUUCAAUCUUCUACUUUCCAUCAAAACUAUCACUUACAAUAAUAUUUAAAGGAAUUAAAUAAAUAAAGUUGGUGGAUUUAAACUAUAAACCAUAUCAAAAAGUAGUAGAAGUAGUAGAUGAUACUAAAUUACUUCCCAACAUAUUAUAUAAGUUCAAACCAAAACAAUUAAGGACUUCAAAGAUUGAAAUAUAGAUCUUCAUGCCUCAAAUCAUGAACAAUACACCACAAUUGUCUAUCAUGCUCAAUUAAUUUCUUGUAACAUACUAGAAUAUCAUAAACUAGUAAAUGAUUGCCUAUGAACGCAUGUGACAAAUGAUUUAUUAUCCUAUGAAAGAUGCAUUAGUAAAUGUAAAAGUACAUGUCCUAUAUGAUUUAUCAAAAUUCUUUCUACAUGCUAGAU